This 884-nucleotide ribosomal RNA is filed under the name uncultured bacterium. RNAcentral's name for it is "bacterial SSU rRNA". It matches the Rfam family "Bacterial small subunit ribosomal RNA", at positions 8 to 916 of the family's 1533-position model. The record is from RNAcentral.
AGAGUUUGAUCAUGGCUCAGGACGAACGCUGGCGGCGUGCCUAACACAUGCAAGUCGAGCGAGGAACUUCGGUUCCUAGCGGCGGACGGGUGAGUAACACGUGGGUAACCUGCCUCAAAGAGGGGGAUAGCCUCCCGAAAGGGAGAUUAAUACCGCAUAAUAUUAAAUUACCGCAUGGUAGUUUAAUUAAAGGAGUAAUCCGCUUUGAGAUGGACCCGCGGCGCAUUAGCUAGUUGGUGAGGUAACGGCUCACCAAGGCCACGAUGCGUAGCCGACCUGAGAGGGUGAUCGGCCACAUUGGAACUGAGAUACGGUCCAGACUCCUACGGGAGGCAGCAGUGGGAAAUAUUGCACAAUGGGCGAAAGCCUGAUGCAGCAACGCCGCGUGAGUGAUGAAGGCCUUCGGGUUGUAAAGCUCUGUCUUUGGGGACGAUUAUGACGGUACCCAAGGAGGAAGCCACGGCUAACUACGUGCCAGCAGCCGCGGUAAUACGUAGGUGGCAAGCGUUGUCCGGAUUUACUGGGCGUAAAGGAUGCGUAGGCGGACAUUUAAGUCAGAUGUGAAAUACCCGAGCUUAACUUGGGUGCUGCAUUUGAAACUGGAUAUCUAGAGUGUGGGAGAGGAAAGUGGAAUUCCUAGAGUAGCGGUGAAAUGCGUAGAGAUUAGGAAGAACACCAGUGGCGAAGGCGACUUUCUGGACCAUAACUGACGCUGAGGCAUGAAAGCGUGGGGAGCAAACAGGAUUAGAUACCCUGGUAGUCCACGCCGUAAACGAUGGGUACUAUGUGUAGGGGGUAUCGACUCCCUCUGUGCCGCAGUUAACACAAUAAGUACCCCGCCUGGGGAGUACGGUCGCAAGAUUAAAACUCAAAGGAAUUGACGG